UGGUGACUGCUCUGUUUCUGCAGACCA
This 27-nucleotide non-coding RNA is filed under the name Mus musculus (house mouse). Lineage: Eukaryota; Metazoa; Chordata; Mammalia; Rodentia; Muridae. The record is from RNAcentral.